GAUGAACGCUGGCGGCGUGCCUAAUACAUGCAAGUCGAGCGAACAGACGAGGAGCUUGCUCCUCUGACGUUAGCGGCGGACGGGUGAGUAACACGUGGAUAACCUACCUAUAAGACUGGGAUAACUUCGGGAAACCGGAGCUAAUACCGGAUAAUAUAUUGAACCGCAUGGUUCAAUAGUGAAAGACGGUUUUGCUGUCACUUAUAGAUGGAUCCGCGCCGCAUUAGCUAGUUGGUAAGGUAACGGCUUACCAAGGCAACGAUGCGUAGCCGACCUGAGAGGGGGAGGGGCCACAGGGGAGGGGGACCGGGGCCAGGCGUAAGACGGGAGGGAGCAGAAGGGAAUCUGCCGAAAGGGGCGAAAGCCUGACGGAACAAGCCGGCGGGGGUGAGAAAGGUGUUGGGAUCGAAAACCUUUUUUAUGGGGGAAAAAAAAAUGGGAAAGAAAAAAUGCACGGUUUGACGGUACCUAAUAAAAAAGCAACGGCUAACUACGUG
Molecule: ribosomal RNA, 497 nt
Filed under: uncultured bacterium
Lineage: Bacteria
Description: partial 16S ribosomal RNA
Rfam family: Bacterial small subunit ribosomal RNA
Source: RNAcentral